RNAcentral lists this ribosomal RNA (1444 nucleotides) under Aeropyrum camini SY1 = JCM 12091. RNAcentral's name for it is "bacterial SSU rRNA". It matches the Rfam family "Archaeal small subunit ribosomal RNA". The record is from RNAcentral. Lineage: Archaea; Thermoproteati; Thermoproteota; Thermoprotei; Acidilobales; Acidilobaceae.
ACUCCGGUUGAUCCUGCCGGACCCGACCGCUAUCGGGGUAGGGCUAAGCCAUGGGAGUCGAACGCCCCGCCGCUGCGGGGCGUGGCGGACGGCUGAGUAACACGUGGCUAACCUACCCUCGGGACGGGGAUAACCCCUCGGGAAACUGGGGCUAAUCCCCGAUAGGCGGGGGGUGCCUGGAAGGGUCCUCCGCCGAAAGGGGCCGCGGGGGGUUAUCGCCCGCGGUCCGCCCGAGGAUGGGGCUGCGGCCCAUCACGGUAGUUGGCGGGGUAAUGGCCCGCCAAGCCUACGACGGGUAGGGGCCGUGAGAGCGGGAGCCCCCAGAUGGGCACUGAGACAAGGGCCCAGGCCCUACGGGGCGCACCAGGCGCGAAAACUCCGCAAUGCGGGCAACCGUGACGGGGCUACCCCGAGUGCCCCCCUUGGGGGGGCUUUUCCCCGCUGUAAGUAGGCGGGGGAAUAAGCGGGGGGCAAGACUGGUGUCAGCCGCCGCGGUAAUACCAGCCCCGCGAGCGGUCGGGGUGCUUACUGGGCCUAAAGCGCCCGUAGCCGGCUCGACAAGUCCCCGCCUAAAGCCCCGGGCUCAACCCGGGGAGUGGCGGGGAUACUGUCGGGCUAGGGGGCGGGAGAGGCCGAGGGUACUCCCGGGGUAGGGGCGAAAUCCAUUAAUCCCGGGAGGACCACCAGUGGCGAAGGCGCUCGGCUGGAACGCGCCCGACGGUGAGGGGCGAAAGCCGGGGGAGCGAACCGGAUUAGAUACCCGGGUAGUCCUGGCUGUAAACGAUGCGGGCUAGGUGUUGGGCGGGCGUGCGAGCCCGCCCAGUGCCGCAGGGAAGCCGUUAAGCCCGCCGCCUGGGGAGUACGGCCGCAAGGCUGAAACUUAAAGGAAUUGGCGGGGGAGCACCACAAGGGGUGGAGCCUGCGGCUUAAUUGGAGUCAACGCCGGGAACCUCCACCGGGGGCGACAGCAGGAUGACGGCCAGGCUGAAGGCCUUGCCCGACGCGCUGAGGGGAGGUGCAUGGCCGUCGCCAGCUCGUGCCGUGAGGUGUCCUGUUAAGUCAGGCAACGAGCGAGACCCCCGCCCCUAGUUGCCAUCCCCGGGGCGACCCGGGGGGCACACUAGGGGGACUGCCGCCGCUAAGGCGGAGGAAGGAGGGGGCAACGGCAGGUCAGCAUGCCCCUAAACCCCCGGGCUGCACGCGGGCUACAAUGGCGGGGACAGCGGGUGCCGACCCCGAAAGGGGGAGGCAAUCCCUCAAACCCCGCCUCAGUUGGGAUCGAGGGCUGCAACUCGCCCUCGUGAACGUGGAAUCCCUAGUAACCGCGCGUCAUCAUCGCGCGGUGAAUACGUCCCUGCCCUUGCACACACUGCCCGUCGCUCCCCCCGAGGGGGGAGAAGUCGUAACAAGGUAGCCGUAGGGGAACCUGCGGCUGGAUCACCUC